RNAcentral lists this ribosomal RNA (254 nucleotides) under uncultured bacterium. RNAcentral describes it as "partial 16S ribosomal RNA". It matches the Rfam family "Bacterial small subunit ribosomal RNA", at positions 524 to 776 of the family's 1533-position model. The record is from RNAcentral.
UACGUAGGGUGCGAGCGUUAAUCGGAAUUACUGGGCGUAAAGCGUGACGCAGGCGGUUCGUUGUGUCUGUGGUGAAAGCCCCGGGCUAACCUGGGAAUGGCCUGGAAACUGGCGAGCUGGAGUGUGGCAGAGGGGGGUGGGAAGUUCCGCGUGUAGCAGUGAAAUGCGUAGAGAUGCGGAGGAACACCUGUGGCGAAAGCGGCUCACUGGACCACAACUGACGCUGAGGCACGAAAGCUAGGGGAGCAAACAGG